ACAGGCUUAACACAUGCAAGUCGAGGGGCAGCAUGGUCUUAGCUUGCUAAGGCCGAUGGCGACCGGCGCACGGGUGAGUAACACGUAUCCAACCUGCCGUCUACUCUUGGACAGCCUUCUGAAAGGAAGAUUAAUACAAGAUGGCAUCAUGAGUCCACAUGUUCACAUGAUUAAAGGUAUUCCGGUAGACGAUGGGGAUGCGUUCCAUUAGAUAGUAGGCGGGGUAACGGCCCACCUAGUCUUCGGUGGAUAGGGGUUCUGAGAGGAAGGUCCCCCACAUUGGAACUGAGACACGGUCCAAACUCCUACGGGAGGCAGCAGUGAGGAAUAUUGGUCAAUGGGCGAGAGCCUGAACCAGCCAAGUAGCGUGAAGGAUGACUGCCCUAUGGGUUGUAAACUUCUUUUAUAAAGGAAUAAAGUCGGGUAUGCAUACCCGUUUGCAUGUACUUUAUGAAUAAGGAUCGGCUAACUCCGUGCCAGCAGCCGCGGUAAUACGGAGGAUCCGAGCGUUAUCCGGAUUUAUUGGGUUUAAAGGGAGCGUAGAUGGAUGUUUAAGUCAGUUGUGAAAGUUUGCGGCUCAACCGUAAAAUUGCAGUUGAUACUGGAUAUCUUGAGUGCAGUUGAGGCAGGCGGAAUUCGUGGUGUAGCGGUGAAAUGCUUAGAUAUCACGAAGAACUCCGAUUGCGAAGGCAGCCUGCUAAGCUGCAACUGACAUUGAGGCUCGAAAGUGUGGGUAUCAAACAGGAUUAGAUACCCUGGUAGUCCACACGGUAAACGAUGAAUACUCGCUGUUUGCGAUAUACAGCAAGCGGCCAAGCGAAAGCGUUAAGUAUUCCACCUGGGGAGUACGCCGGCAACGGUGAAACUCAAAGGAAUUGACGGGGGCCCGCACAAGCGGAGGAACAUGUGGUUUAAUUCGAUGAUACGCGAGGAACCUUACCCGGGCUUAAAUUGCAGAUGAAUUACGGUGAAAGCCGUAAGCCGCAAGGCAUCUGUGAAGGUGCUGCAUGGUUGUCGUCAGCUCGUGCCGUGAGGUGUCGGCUUAAGUGCCAUAACGAGCGCAACCCUUGUUGUCAGUUACUAACAGGCCAUGCUGAGGACUCUGACAAGACUGCCAUCGUAAGAUGUGAGGAAGGUGGGGAUGACGUCAAAUCAGCACGGCCCUUACGUCCGGGGCUACACACGUGUUACAAUGGGGGGUACAGAGGGCCGCUACCACGCGAGUGGAUGCCAAUCCCAAAAACCUCUCUCAGUUCGGACUGGAGUCUGCAACCCGACUCCACGAAGCUGGAUUCGCUAGUAAUCGCGCAUCAGCCACGGCGCGGUGAAUACGUUCCCGGGCCUUGUACACACCGCCCGUCAAGCCAUGGGAGCCGGGGGUACCUGAAGUGCGUAACCGCGAGGAGCGCCCUAGGGUAAAACUGGUGACUGGGGCUAAAUCAUA
This 1444-nucleotide ribosomal RNA is filed under the name uncultured organism. RNAcentral describes it as "SSU rRNA". It matches the Rfam family "Bacterial small subunit ribosomal RNA". The record is from RNAcentral.